Molecule: non-coding RNA, 785 nt
Filed under: Curculio sp. SZ-2019
Lineage: Eukaryota; Metazoa; Arthropoda; Insecta; Coleoptera; Curculionidae
Source: RNAcentral
UUAAAGUUUUUUAGCUUAACUUUACUGUGUAAAGUUACUUUAAAUGCAAGUUUUUGCUUAAUUUAUGUUUAUUUUUAAAUAGGAUAAAAUUUAUCUUUUUUUUUGUAAAUUCGCAGUAAAAAAAAUUAUUUUAUUAAAUAGAUUUAGAAAUAGUAAUUUUUUAUAGUAUAAACUAAACUUGUGCCAGCAGUUGCGGUUAAACAGGGUAUACUACAGUAAAAAUUUUGAUAUUAGUAAAUAAAUAUGUUGAGUAAUUAAUGAGAUUUAUUAAGUGAAAUUUUAAAUUUUUAUAAAUUUAAAUUUGUAUAUAAGGCUAGAAAAUUUUUGUAAUAAACUAGGAUUAGAUACCCUAUUAUAAAGAAAGUAUUUUAUUUAUUUAAUUAGUAUUAGUUAUGGUCUUGAAAAUUAAAAAAGUUGGCGGUAUUUUAGUCUAUUCAGAGGAACCUGUCCUGUAAUUGAUGGUCCACGUUUUUGUUUACUUAUUUUUUUAAUUUGCAUAUCGCCGUAGGUUGAAUAUUUUUAAAGAAAUUUAAUGUUCAAAAUUUUUAAUGAAACUAACUCAGGUCAAGAUGUAGUUUAUAAAUGAGAAGAGAUGGGUUACAAUAAUAAUAUUUAUACGAAUGGAUUUUUGUAAUAAUUUUUUAAAGGCGGAUUUGAGGGUAAUUUUAAAUAAAUAUUUAAAAUGAUUAUAGCUCUAAAAUAUGUACAUAUCGCCCGUCGCUUUCACUCUAAAGUGGAAUAAGUCGUAACAAAGUAGGGGUACUGGAAAGUGUUCCUAGAAAGAU